GGCAGCUACUGAGCAAUCCUGCCUCUGUUUCCCUUGUUGCAAAUGAGGGUGUUGAUUGUGAUCACACCACCUACUGUUGGGGUGCUGUGGGGAAAUGAGGCAUCCCAGAUAAGCUGAGUUCCCUGGGACCUUAGAUGGGUGGAUCUGUGGGAAGCAAUGAGGUCAGCCAGGUGCAGAGACAGUGCUCAGCGGCAGUGCUCAGCCCACCCUGUCCCUUCGCAUCUUUUGUUUGGAACAUAGGGCUUUGCAACUGAAAGGUAUGAGAAAGGUCUCAGGCUGCCUUCCUUAUUAUUGAAAUGAGGACCUUAAAGCUCAGAUGGGGAAGCAGAGAUGGGCAGAGGAUAAGGAAGAGCUUCCAUUGCUCUCACAGCUAAAGCAAGGAAUGGCUGUUCUCACAGGGCUGUGAGAGGACAUCCCUGCGGGUGUUCAAGCAGAAACAGGGAACAAUGGGGGUGGGGUUUCGACUCCCAAGUCCCUUCUGAAUCCGUGGUUGAGGGACUCCAUGGCCAGGUCACCUGGAGUGUGACUCAAGAGCAUGAUCACCUUCUCUAGCCCAGGACGUGGAGGGACAGACAUGGUGGGUUCCUGGCUUACACAGAUCCUGGGAUUCCUCUCCCCAGAUUUUCUGACCUGUCAUCGGGGGAUCUCCUUUAUGACACACACAAACUUGGCUCAAGAACCCACUGAUUGGACCACAUCGAAUACCGAGAUGUGCGAGGCGGGGCAGGUGUGUCAGGAGACGCUGCUGCUGGUAGAUGUAGGACUCACAUCAACCCUGGUGGGGACAAAAGGCUGCAGCGCUGUUGGGGCUCAAAAUUCCCAGAAGACCACCAUCCACUCAGCCCCUCCUGGGGUGCUUGUGGCCUCCUAUACCCACUUCUGCUCCUCGGACCUGUGCAAUAGUGCCAGCAGCAGCAGCGUCCUGCUGAACUCCCUCCCUCCUCAAGGUAUGGGAUCCAGGGUCGUGGAGAAAUGAGGCCCAGACACACAGAGACUCUGGCCCAAGGUGGGCGGCUGCUCUGAGCACAAAGUCAUGUACCCCUACCUUCCCUCUGCUCCCCAGCUGCCCCUGUCCCAGGAGACCGGCAGUGUCCUACCUGUGUGCAGCCCCUUGGAACCUGUUCAAGUGGCUCCCCCCAAAUGACCUGCCCCAGGGGCGCCACUCAUUGUUAUGAUGGGUACAUUCAUCUCUCAGGAGGUGAGGGCUGCAAGCAGGGCCCCAAGGAUGAAGGCGCUGGUGGCCUGGACUCCUGGGUCUGAAGGAGGAGGAGCUGGGGGCCUGGACUCCCGGUCCGAGGGAGGAGGGGCUGGGGGCCUGGACUCCCGGUCCGAGGGAGGAGGGGCUGGGGGCCUGGUCUCCCGGUCCGAGGGUGGAGGGGCUGGGGGCCAGGGCUCCUGGGUCUGAGGAGCUGAGGCUCUGGACUCCUGGGUCUGAGGGAGAAGGGACUGGGGGCCUGGACUCCUGGGUCUGAGGGAGGAGGGGCUGGGGACUUGGGCUCCUGGGUCUGAGGGAGGAGGGGCUGGGGGCCUGGACCCCUGGGUCUGAGGAGCUGGGGCUGGGGGUCAGGGCUCCUCGGUCUGAGGGAGGAGGGUCUGGGGCCUGGACUCCUGGGUUUACAACUUGGCUGGGCUGUACUCUGUGUCCUUUCUGACUUGGUCUUCUCCCUCUAGGUGGGCUGACCUCCACAAUGAGCAUUCAGGGCUGCGUGGCCCAACCUUCCAGCUUCUUGUUGAACCACACCAGACA
This is a long non-coding RNA of Pan troglodytes (chimpanzee), 1747 nucleotides long. NCBI's taxonomy places the organism in Eukaryota, Metazoa, Chordata, Mammalia, Primates, Hominidae. The record is from Ensembl.